Molecule: non-coding RNA, 78 nt
Organism: Crenichthys baileyi (White River springfish)
Lineage: Eukaryota; Metazoa; Chordata; Actinopteri; Cyprinodontiformes; Goodeidae
Source: the annotation of a GenBank genome assembly
GGCUGUGCAAUGGUGCAGUUGGUAGCACUGUUGCCUUGCAGUGAGAAGGUCCUGGGUUCAAAUCCCAGCCCCGGGUCU